GGAGGCCUAACACAUGCAAGCCGAGCGGUAGAGAUUCUUCGGAAUCUUGAGAGCGGCGUACGGGUGCGGAACACGUGUGCAACCUGCCUUUAUCAGGGGGAUAGCUUUUCGAAAGGAAGAUUAAUACCCCAUAACAUUUUGAAUGGCAUCAUUUAAAAUUGAAAACUCCGGUGGAUAGAGAUGGGCACGCGCAAGAUUAGAUAGUUGGUGAGGUAACGGCUCACCAAGUCUGCGAUCUUUAGGGGGCCUGAGAGGGUGAUCCCCCACACUGGUACUGAGACACGGACCAGACUCCUACGGGAGGCAGCAGUGAGGAAUAUUGGACAAUGGGUGCGAGCCUGAUCCAGCCAUCCCGCGUGAAGGACGACGGCCCUAUGGGUUGUAAACUUCUUUUGUAUAGGGAUAAACCUAGAUACGUGUAUCUAGCUGAAGGUACUAUACGAAUAAGCACCGGCUAACUCCGUGCCAGCAGCCGCGGUAAUACGGAGGGUGCAAGCGUUAUCCGGAUUUAUUGGGUUUAAAGGGUCCGUAGGCGGAUCUGUAAGUCAGUGGUGAAAUCUCACAGCUUAACUGUGAAACUGCCAUUGAUACUGCAGGUCUUGAGUGUUGUUGAAGUAGCUGGAAUAAGUAGUGUAGCGGUGAAAUGCAUAGAUAUUACUUAGAACACCAAUUGCGAAGGCAGGUUACUAAGCAACAACUGACGCUGAUGGACGAAAGCGUGGGGAGCGAACAGGAUUAGAUACCCUGGUAGUCCACGCCGUAAACGAUGCUAACUCGUUUUUGGAUUUUCGGAUUCAGAGACUAAGCGAAAGUGAUAAGUUAGCCACCUGGGGAGUACGUUCGCAAGAAUGAAACUCAAAGGAAUUGACGGGGGCCCGCACAAGCGGUGGAUUAUGUGGUUUAAUUCGAUGAUACGCGAGGAACCUUACCAAGGCUUAAAUGGGAAAUGACAGGUUUAGAAAUAGACUUUUCUUCGGACAUUUUUCAAGGUGCUGCAUGGUUGUCGUCAGCUCGUGCCGUGAGGUGUUAGGUUAAGUCCUGCAACGAGCGCAACCCCUGUCACUAGUUGCCAUCAUUAAGUUGGGGACUCUAGUGAGACUGCCUACGCAAGUAGAGAGGAAGGUGGGGAUGACGUCAAAUCAUCACGGCCCUUACGCCUUGGGCCACACACGUAAUACAAUGGCCAGUACAGAGGGCAGCUACACGGUGACGUGAUGCAAAUCUCGAAAGCUGGUCUCAGUUCGGAUUGGAGUCUGCAACUCGACUCUAUGAAGCUGGAAUCGCUAGUAAUCGCGCAUCAGCCAUGGCGCGGUGAAUACGUUCCCGGGCCUUGUACACACCGCCCGUCAAGCCAUGGAAGUCUGGGGUACCUGAAGUCGGUGACCGUAACAGGAGCUGCCUAGGGUAAAACAGGUAACUAGGGCUAAGUCGU
RNAcentral lists this ribosomal RNA (1432 nucleotides) under Chryseobacterium nakagawai. Its description in RNAcentral is "bacterial SSU rRNA". It matches the Rfam family "Bacterial small subunit ribosomal RNA". Lineage: Bacteria; Pseudomonadati; Bacteroidota; Flavobacteriia; Flavobacteriales; Weeksellaceae. The record is from RNAcentral.